UUCCGGUUGAUCCUGCCAGAUCCGACUGCUAUCCGGGUAAGACUAAGCCAUGCGAGUCGAAUGGGAAGCUAAACUUCCAUGGCGUACUGCUCAGUAACAAGUGAUUAACUUACCCUUCAGUGGGGCACAACCUCGGGAAACUGAGGCUAAUUCCCCAUAGUUGAAAAGGCCUGGAAUGGUUUUUCAUCGAAAGGUUAUAACAAAUGCGUUAUAUUCGCUGAAGGAUAGGAUUGCUCCCGAUUAUGGUUGUUGGCGAGGUAAUGGCUCACCAAGCCUAUUAUCGGUAAGGGCCGUGAGAGCGGGAGCCCUGAGAUGGGUACUGAGACAAGGACCCAGGCCUUACGAGGCGCAGCAGGCGCGAAAACUUAACCAUGCACGAAAGUGUGAUUAGGUUACCCGGAGUGCUAAAGGUAGAACUUUUAGCUGUUAUAGAGUGUAGAUAACUCUAUGAGAAAGGAGAGGGCAAGGCUGGUGCCAGCCGCCGCGGUAACACCAGCUCUUCAAGUGGUCGGGACUAUUAUUGGGCUUAAAGUGUCCGUAGCCGGUUUGGUAAGUCCCUGGUUAAAGCUGGAAGCUUAACUUUCAGUUCGCUAGGGAAACUACCUUACUAGAGGGCGGGAAAGGUGUGAGGUACUCCAGGGGUAGCGGUGAAAUGCGAUAAUCCUUGGGGGACCACCAGUGGCGAAGGCGUCAGACUGGAACGCGCCUGACGGUGAGGGACGAAAGCCAGGGGAGCGAACGGGAUUAGAUACCCCGGUAGUCCUGGCUGUAAACGAUGCGCGCUAGGUGUUGGUAGGGCUAUGAGCUAUAUCAGUGCCGUAGAGAAAUCGUUAAGCGUGCCGCCUGGGAAGUACGCUCGCAAGAGUGAAACUUAAAGGAAUUGGCGGGGGAGCACCACAAGGGGUGAAGCCUGCGGUUCAAUUGGGAUUCAACCCCGGGAAUCACUAAUGC
RNAcentral lists this ribosomal RNA (951 nucleotides) under uncultured crenarchaeote. RNAcentral's name for it is "bacterial SSU rRNA". It matches the Rfam family "Archaeal small subunit ribosomal RNA", at positions 1 to 934 of the family's 1478-position model. The record is from RNAcentral. Lineage: Archaea; Thermoproteati; Thermoproteota.